GAUGUAUAGCGAAAGCUAAUUAUUUCGGAGAAUUUCUGAAAUAAUAUCGAUUUACUCGAAUAAAAUUCUGUGUGGAAAUUUGAUAAUGACAUGUUCUGCAUAUAAGUCUUGACCAAAUUACGUGCCAGCAGUCGCGGUAAUACGUAUAAGACUAGUGUUAUUCAUCUUUAAUUGGUUUAAAGGGUACCUAGACGGUAAAAUAAGCCUUAUUUUAAGGGACUAAUUUACUAGAGUUACUUAUGAGGGGGCUAUUAGGUACUAGUGGUGGAGAGAUGAAAUUCUUUGAUACCUUGCUUUGUAAAAAGUGAACAUGGCACAGAUUAAGGCGUAAGCAUCUCCUUAUGUGAUAACUGACGUUGAGGGACGAAGGCUUCGUAUAACAAAAAGGAUUAGGUACCCUCGUAGUUGAAGGCAGACAAUGAUGAGUGUCAUAGGGUAGAUAUAUAUUUACCGUAUAAAUGAUAGUGUAAGCACUCCACCUCAAGAGUAAUUUGGCAACAUUGGAACUGAAAUCAUUAGACCGUUUCUGAAACCAGUAGUGAAGUAUGUUGUUUAAUUUGAUGAUCCGCAAAAAACCUUACCAAAACUAGUUCAAAUCUGAAAUUUGGGCAGGUGCACUAUUCACUUUGAAUAUUUAUAUCUUUAUAGAUAUAAUUACAAGAGCUGCACGGCUGUCUUCAGCUAAUGUCGUGAGAUUUUGGUUAGUUCCAUUAAAUUAGCGUAAGCCCUUACUUUAUUUUUAAAUAAAGUAGUUCUCCAUUAUAUAGGAUAAGAUAACAGGGACUAAGACAAGUCAUCAUGGCCAUAAAUGUAGUGGG
RNAcentral lists this ribosomal RNA (818 nucleotides) under Aquacidia antricola. RNAcentral describes it as "SSU rRNA". It matches the Rfam family "Bacterial small subunit ribosomal RNA", at positions 359 to 1213 of the family's 1533-position model. The record is from RNAcentral. Lineage: Eukaryota; Fungi; Ascomycota; Lecanoromycetes; Lecanorales; Pilocarpaceae.